This 202-nucleotide long non-coding RNA is filed under the name Ananas comosus (pineapple). RNAcentral describes it as "long non-coding RNA (ACOM_LNC040700)". Lineage: Eukaryota; Viridiplantae; Streptophyta; Magnoliopsida; Poales; Bromeliaceae. The record is from RNAcentral.
AAAAUACCGUUUUGCCAAUACCGACCCCUCCUCGGUCAACGCGCAAUCUCCGCAGAUCCGUCCGUCAGAUAUGCGGACGGAUAGCACCGGUGCGAUCAGCACGACGGAGACAACAAAGCUGCGAUUUCGUUUCACCACGAUCGACUACGGAUUCGCGACAAAAUCCAAUCUUUCUUUCCAAUAGAAGGAAUAACACAUAAAU